GCCCACUCAGUGCUGAGCACAGUGUAUGUGUGCACAUGCGUGUGCACAUGUGCGUGGGCUGGCCCAGCCUCCAGAGCACAGAUCCCAUUGCAGGAUCAUCGCCUCGCCUUGCAGACACCAUGGUCCCGUGGGCCUGCUGCCUGCUGGUGGGGCUGUGUGCCCUGCUCCCUCAUGCCACCCCCCAGCAGGACCCCCAUGGGGACCCUGAGCACUGCGGCAUCACUUUCCAUGCCCCAAACCCUUGCGGUCCACCCCGUGUGCCAUCCCCUCUUGCAUCCCGGGAGGAUCUGGAGCACCUGCAGAGCCUCCUGAAGCAGAACAAGGCCACGCUGCAGGAUGUGGAGGCGGCGGCAGUGCUGGAGGAACCCCAACCCCGGUACCAGGACGUGAUCAAUGAGGCACUGCCUGCAAUCCGUGGGGCCAACCAGGAAUUUGGGGAGAGCCUGGACAACGUGCGCAGGGAGCUGGAGGCUCACAUGGCCCAGAGCGAUCACCCGCAGGUGGUGGAGAAGAGGGAGAAGCUGCGCAAGGACAUCCGCCUGGUGGCCCAUGUGCUGAAUCUCACCUCCCACCUUGCCCACGUCCUUGACGCCUCCUCCCAGCGCCUCCAGGAUGAGCUGAGCCUCCGCCUGCAGCGCUCGGCCACCCGUGCUGCUGCUGCCCAGCCAUAGGACACAGCCUGAGCUCUGCCUUUGCCCUCCGUACAACCUCACUUGCUGAGCUCUGAGCCCCUUUGCUUCUCCCUGAACGUGCUAUGCCCAUGCAACCAUUUGCAGCCAGCCAAAAUCAGCCAAAAUCUGAGAAACAUGGAACAUCUCAAGCUGGAAGGGAGCCCCGAGGAUUACUGUGUGCAACCCCAAAAAUCCAAACGUGAUGCCUGUCUUCAUCCAUGCCGUUCCUUUCUACAAAUGAUCGCCGUCUCCUCUGGGGCAUGGAUGAUGAUGGGGUCGGGGAUGGGGAUGGGGAUUGGAUGGGAAUGGGCAUGGGGAUGGGGAUGGGGAGGAGAAUGGGGGAGGAUGGGGAUGGGGAUGGGAAUGGGAAUGGGGAUGGGGAUGGAGAUGGGGAUGGGGAUGGGGAUGGAGAUGGGGACGGAGAUGGGGACGGGGUGGGGGCGGGGGUGGGGGUGGGAUGGGGAUGGGGAUGGUGUGGCUGCACACACACAGGCAGAGAAGUGCUGGGUUGGAGCUGUGGGAGAUGAAUACAAGCAGCCCAGCAGUAAAUUGAAGCUGGCAACCAGAGUGCACUGAACCUACAGAGGGUUGGGCAUUAGGAAAAUAGCUAGAGGCAGAAAACUCUGAUCUGUUUAAACACAAGGAGGACACGUCCUGGACACACCAUCACAGGACCUGGGGGCACCAUAGGUGUGCACUGCACAACCCUGGGGCUGGGCAACAGGAACACCUCGGGCAACAGCAGUGACACAUCUCCAGGAGCUGCAGGCAGCACAAUAAAGAUGCAUUGUGCUCUGCCA
RNAcentral lists this long non-coding RNA (1471 nucleotides) under Chrysolophus pictus (golden pheasant). Its description in RNAcentral is "lncRNA (ENSCPIG00010007768.1)". Lineage: Eukaryota; Metazoa; Chordata; Aves; Galliformes; Phasianidae. The record is from RNAcentral.